AACGAACGCUGGCGGCAGGCUUAACACAUGCAAGUCGAACGCACCUUUCGGGGUGAGUGGCCGACGGGUGAGUAACGCGUGGGAAUCUACCCUUCUCUACGGGAUAGCUCCGGGAAACUGGAAUUAAUACCGUAUACGUCCUGAGGGAGAAAGAUUUAUCGGGGAAGGAUGAGCCCGCGUUGGAUUAGCUAGUUGGUGGGGUAAAGGCCUACCAAGGCGACGAUCCAUAGCUGGUCUAAGAGGAUGAUCAGCCACAUUGGGACUGAGACACGGCCCAAACUCCUACGGGAGGCAGCAGUGGGGAAUAUUGGACAAUGGGCGCAAGCCUGAUCCAGCCAUGCCGCGUGAGUGAUGAAGGCCCUAGGGUUGUAAAGCUCUUUCAGGGGGGACGAUAAUGACGGUACCCACAGAAGAAGCCCCGGCUAACUUCGUG
This 433-nucleotide ribosomal RNA is filed under the name uncultured bacterium. RNAcentral describes it as "partial 16S ribosomal RNA". It matches the Rfam family "Bacterial small subunit ribosomal RNA", at positions 29 to 507 of the family's 1533-position model. The record is from RNAcentral.